GAUUGUGAAGGUGAUCUGGCUGCAACAUCUGUCACCCCAUUGAUCACCAGGGUUGAUUCAGCUGAUCUGGCUGGAGACGUGGGUGUCCCCUUCCUCCCUCAUCGUUCCAUGUGUGUCCCUCCCAAAGCUGUGCGCUCAGCUGAAGAGGAUGACCAUCCCCAAUAGGGGAGGACCAUUCUUCGGUCAAGGGUAUAUGAGUAGCUGGCUCCCCUGCUAGAACCUCCAAACAAGCUCUCAAGAAUAAUACUGCUGCCUGGUGCAGUGGCUCACACUAUAAUCCCAGCUACUGAGGAAGCAGAAAU
RNAcentral lists this small nuclear RNA (302 nucleotides) under Castor canadensis (American beaver). RNAcentral describes it as "7SK RNA (ENSCCNG00000010020.1)". It matches the Rfam family "7SK RNA". From Rfam's summary of the family: 7SK was discovered as an abundant small nuclear RNA in the mid-70s but a possible function has only recently been suggested. Lineage: Eukaryota; Metazoa; Chordata; Mammalia; Rodentia; Castoridae. The record is from RNAcentral.